AUUGAACGCUGGCGGCAGGCCUAACACAUGCAAGUCGAGCGGAUGAAGGGAGCUUGCUCCUGGAUUCAGCGGCGGACGGGUGAGUAAUGCCUAGGAAUCUGCCUUGUAGUGGGGGAUAACGUCCGGAAACGGGCGCUAAUACCGCAUCCGUCCUGAGGGAGAAAGUGGGGGAUCUUCGGACCUCACGCUAUCAGCUGAGCCUAGGUCGGAUUAGCUAGUUGGUGGGGUAAAGGCCUACCAAGGCGACGAUCCGUAACUGGUCUGAGAGGAUGAUCAGUCACACUGGAACUGAGACACGGUCCAGACUCCUACGGGAGGCAGCAGUGGGGAAUAUUGGACAAUGGGCGAAAGCCUGAUCCAGCCAUGCCGCGUGUGUGAAGAAGGUCUUCGGAUUGUAAAGCACUUUAAGUUGGGAGGAAGGGCAGUAAGUGAAUACCUUGCUGUUUUGACGUUACCAACAGAAUAAGCACCGGCUAACUUCGUG
This 484-nucleotide ribosomal RNA is filed under the name uncultured bacterium. RNAcentral's name for it is "partial 16S ribosomal RNA". It matches the Rfam family "Bacterial small subunit ribosomal RNA", at positions 30 to 507 of the family's 1533-position model. The record is from RNAcentral.